GGACCCUUAGCUCAAUCGGUAGAGCUUUGUACUUAUGUGGAUAAAGUUAUGCAAGGGUCCCGAGUUCGAUUCUCGGAGGGUCCA
Non-coding RNA from Trametopsis cervina, 84 nucleotides. The record is from the annotation of a GenBank genome assembly. Lineage: Eukaryota; Fungi; Basidiomycota; Agaricomycetes; Polyporales; Irpicaceae.